CAAUCCUUAUUUCUGGAGAAAUUGACAGAACUGCUUAAAGAGGCUUUUGCUAGUAAACCUGGCUAUGAAGGAGUGCAGUUCCUAGAUGUGAGGCCUGGAACUAUAACUGUUGACCUUGCUCUGAAAUUCAAAUUUCCUACAAAGGAAAAAGAUGUUAUAACAACACUAAAUGCUGCUCUUAAAGAUGGAAAGCUAGGAGAGUUCAGUGUGAGUUCCAUUAAAGGGACUAGGCAUGAUGUGGCAACAACAUCACCAACUACAACACCAACUGACGGGUCUU
Molecule: long non-coding RNA, 280 nt
Organism: Stylophora pistillata
Lineage: Eukaryota; Metazoa; Cnidaria; Anthozoa; Scleractinia; Pocilloporidae
Source: RefSeq, a predicted model, not a curated record